Molecule: ribosomal RNA, 1005 nt
Filed under: Gautieria sp. 3 RG-2012
Lineage: Eukaryota; Fungi; Basidiomycota; Agaricomycetes; Gomphales; Gomphaceae
Description: eukaryotic LSU rRNA
Rfam family: 5.8S ribosomal RNA (bases 632-786)
Source: RNAcentral
AAGGAUCAUUAACGUAUUUUGAAUCAAGGGGGAAUGCGGUCCGUCCGAUGAAGGGCGCCUCACCCCUCGGGGAGAAGCNAGUGUUGGCCUGCAAAGGCGCGGCCCUCCCGCUGGGGGCAGUAGUUUGGGCAUUGAGCAAACAUGCUUCAAAAUUGGCUUUGUGAACGUGCCGCCUCCGGCCUUCUGGGAGGAUAGUGGGGGUUCCGCGGACAAGAUGCCUCGGCCUUCUGGGGGACGUAAGUUGGGUCUGCAAAACGGACCGCCUCACCUCCAGGGGGACGUUUGGGUGGAGCAUGCGAGCGGAGCCCCUUGAUCCCAGGGGCACGUUAGUUGGGUACGCGAGCCGAAGUGCCUCGUCCCCAGGGGAGUGCACAAACAGAUUUGUUGUUUAUGCGUCCAUUGUAAGGUCGGCCUCGCGGCUCUGCGAGGGGGAAGUAGUUUGGCCCUCAAGGGUGGCCUCGGCCCCUGCAUUCUAAUCCACUUUAACACCUGUGCACCUUUAGGCGAGUGCCCUCCAUUUGGAGCCGUCUGACGUUCCGGCGUCGGACCGGGGCGCUCUCCGCCCCAAACACACCACUGCCUGUCUUGUAACGCAUGUAAACCGCCCCAAGGGGGUGAUAAAAGUUAAUACAACUUUCAACAACGGAUCUCUUGGCUUUCGCAUCGAUGAAGAACGCCGCGAAAGUGCGAAACGUAAUGUGAAUUGCAGAAUUCAGUGAAUCAUCGAAUCUUUGAACGCACCUUGCGCUCCUUGGUAUUCCGAGGAGCAUGCCUGUUUGAGUGUCGUGAAACCCUCUCGGACCCGCCCCUUUUGCCGGGGUGGGUUUGGAUUUGGACGCCUGCGGGUCGCCGCUCGUCUUUAAAUGCAUUAGCUGGUCCCUUUGUGGUCGGUCCGAACGACGGUGUGAUAACAAAAUGCUUAGUGCGCCGUUCGUUGCCUGGCCUGGGUCGCUUAGAGCCGUCCUCCUCGGACAACUUUCAUGUCGUUCUGACCUCAAAUCACCC